Molecule: long non-coding RNA, 2605 nt
Filed under: Canis lupus familiaris (dog)
Lineage: Eukaryota; Metazoa; Chordata; Mammalia; Carnivora; Canidae
Description: lncRNA (ENSCAFG00030005347.1)
Source: RNAcentral
AUGGGGGAUGAAAGAUACAGAGGAAACCCAGCUCCACCACUUUGGAGGGAAAUACAGUCUUGUGCUCUCAUUUCAUCUGGUAGGAUUAGGCUAGAAAUGUAUUUUGGCAGGGACUGGUGGCCCCACCUACCACCCCAUCAUCGUGCCCAGCCAAAGAUAACAUCUCCUUUCCUAGCAGGUAGGUGUGGGCAAAUAACCUGCUUCUGGCCAAUGGUAUAUGGGGGAGAAGUGAGACGUAUGGAUUUUGGAAAUUUUCCUCAAAAGAAGGAAACAUGUGCCCCCCUUCCAUCUGUCCCUUUCUCAGAGGCUAAAACAUAGAAGAGGGCAGAGCAACAGCAGAGGACACUGCAUCCCUGAAAUUAGGCUAUGUACUAGCCUCUUACAUGACAGAGAGAUAAUUUUGCAAUUUUGUUAUCUUAGGGUCUCUUGUAACAGUGGCCUGACCUAUAUCUUAACUAAUAUUUGAUCUUUAGACAAGAAGACUCUCAAAGGGGGCACCUGGGUUGCUCAGCAGUUGAAUGUCUGCCUUCAGCUCAAGUCAUGGUCCCAAAGUCCUGGGAUCGAGUGCUAUAUCAGGCUCCCCAUGGGGAGCCUGCUUUUCCCUCGUCCUAUAUCUCUGCUUCUCUCUCUCAUGAAUAAAUAAAAUCUUAAAAAAAAAAAAGAAGCCUCUAAAAGAACACUAGAGAAGAGAUGAAGAGCCAAGCUCACCUUUGUAAAAUGCUUUCUGUGCAACAGGCACUCUGCUAGAUGACAAUCCUAGAAAGUAUUGUCGUAUUCCUCAUGUUAGAAACAAGGACACUGAAGUUCGGUGAAGCCAGCCAACUACCAUAAGAUCACAUGGCUGGUAAAUGGUGGUGCCCAUGUUUGCCGGUUUCCAAAACCCAUACUCUUUCCACUUGACAAUAACUGUGAAAGUGAUAGUAAGAGAUAACAUUUAUUAAGUGCGUAUUACGUGUCAAAAUCUGCAUUGAGCUUUAUGCACGAAUUAACCUAUUUAAUUCGGACAACUCUUUGAUGCAAGCACUUUCACUGCACUUAUUUUACCAAUGAAAAAAAGGGCUUUUCAAAGGCAUAAUACUAGGAAGAGGCAGAGUCACAAUUUGCACAGGGUCUGACUACUCCAGAGCUACAAAUCUUACCCCAUUGCUUGACCAAAAGCACAUUUUUGGAUUAAAUCAUUAUCGGCAAAAGAAAUAGCCAGUGCCCAGAGUAUGCUUUAGGAUAAGGAGCAAGCUAUCUCUCUGAACUCAAGGGUUUAAUAUGCUCAUAUGUGGCCCAUUUGACCUCAGUAUAGAGCUUCUGAAAAUUAAAAGGAGAAAAAAAAUAUUUCAUUAAAUUAUUUAAUGCAUAAGAACUAUACAAUAAGACUCAACUGUCAUUUUGCUACUACCAGCAUUUACCUUACUGUCACCAGCUGUUAAUUUGCAGCCCUAAAUCAAUAAGUCAUUGUAUAGAAGCUGAAAGAAAUUCAUUAUACAUGAUUGAAUAAUUUAAGUUUAAUUCUGCUAAAAUCCUAUCGAAAAGUUAGGGAUGUUAUGGAAUACGACAGAAAACACGUAGACAAAAAUAAAGCUUCUGUAGGCCCUUGACUGAGGCUUAAAUGAUGAUCAGAACUUUUUAAGUGACCAUUAUGGGCUCACUCAAAAAUAAAACUAUUAAUUCUGUUCUCAAAUACAGAGUUUUGUUUUUAUUUUUAUUUUAAAUCAUAUAUUCCACUAACAGAAGCUUAGGUAUUUCUAUCAACAAUUUAAUCUGAUAUUUGCUUCUGAGAAUCAGUUGAAAGUAAGAAAGCAGAAAAGAAAUGGGUGAAAAUUAAAAAAGCAUUUUCAAAGUCAUCCAUAUAAUGAUUAUAUAAUAACAAAAUCUGAAAAAAGAUAUUAUAAGACAAAAAAAUGACAGAGCAAUAUUUCUCAUGGACAUAGAUACUGUAAUAGACAGAUAUAGGGUAGCUCUACCUCCUGGUGUUCAUAUCCUUGAAUAAUUCUCUCCCCUUUGAGAGUAGGUGGGAACUGUGACUUGCCUAAUAACCAACAGAACAUGGCAAAAGUGAUGGAAGUGAUGUCCUUCCCAGAAUCACAUUACAUUUAUUUAAUAUGCCUUGCUAGCAGACUCACUCUAGAGAUGUUCCUUGGCUGGCUUUGAAGAAGUAGCCAUGUUGGGAAGCCCACAUGGCAAGGAAGUGAGAGUGCUCUCCAAGAACAGCCAGCAAGAAGCCAGGACUCUCAACUGUACAACCACAAGGAGAUGAAUUCUGACAGCUACCCGAAAGACCUUGGAAGCAGACUCUUCCCUAGUUGAGCUUUCAAAUGAGAGCACCAAAUGGCCAACACCUUAAAUGCAGCCUUGUGAGACCCUAAGCUGAGGACCCACCCAGUCAGAGUGCACCCAGCUCCUGACCCACAGAAACUGUAAGAUAAUUAACAUGUGUUGUUUUAAGCUUUGGUAAUUUGUUACACAGUGAUAAAUGAUGCACAUGCAAAUACUGCCAAUAAACUAUUAGCAAACCAAACCCAUUGAUACAUAAAAAGGAGAUUUAUUCCAAAAAUGCAAAGUUGGUUCAACAUUCAAAAAUCAAUAAAUAAUUUGCCCACAUAGGUGAAGGAGG